This is a long non-coding RNA of Syngnathoides biaculeatus (alligator pipefish), 973 nucleotides long. RefSeq lists it as uncharacterized. The record is from RefSeq and is a predicted model, not a curated record. The transcript is spliced from 2 exons. NCBI's taxonomy places the organism in Eukaryota, Metazoa, Chordata, Actinopteri, Syngnathiformes, Syngnathidae.
GAUUUAGUUCUCUCACCACCGCCGCCUGAGUUCGUGUUUGGUCAAGUGUUGUUCAAUUUUGAAAAUGCUGUGGGUUGACUGACUUCCUUUCUUUUUAUUGCAGCACCUCCACCCGGAGUCGAAAGAAGAGCUUUUAUCUUGAAGGGGCAGCAGCGGUGAUCUGUCGCCUUAAAUAUUUGUGGCGCAAGAGAUCCGAGGCGUUAUAUUUCUUUUUCCUUCACGCGGUGUGGUUGUAGGCUCGAUCGGUUUUCGUAAAUCUUCCUGAAUUUGGACCGAAUAUUGUGAAUCCUCGACACGGGACGCCCCUGAUCACGACUUUCAUGGACUAAAACAUAAUUCGUGCAAUCUUCGUGUCCGGUUGGAGUCGUCUAGUGCACAUUGAAGCUUCUCGGCAUAGCUUAGCUUACCUUGCUAACAAAAAGACCUGCUUGAGAUCAAAAGUUUUCUCAGCAGAAAUUAAGGCUGAAGUAAAGUCUUUCUUUCCGCCACCGACUGUAAUCUAAUACAGCAAUGGAUAGGUUUCCGAAGAUGUCACCACAGCCCCAGGAGUCCCUUGUCUGCCAUUUUGUGUGUCUGAAGCAAGGGAAGCAAGUGCCUUUCGUCUGAUAAUAUGGGCCACACAUACGUAGUUUGGGGCUGUAUUAGCCACGCUGAAUCUGGGCAAACAAAGAGGUAGUAUUUUUAUAUUCCAAAGGUCGUUGUCAACCAGGGAAGUAAAACUAAGCAACUGUCGACAAAAAGAUGGAACCUAGUAAGGUUGUCGAGGAUCAACUGAGCAGGAUUUCCGCUAUAAAGUUUGCUCGGAUUUCCUUCAUGAUUUCUGUCACAUAGAGUAAAAGGUCAAGGGCAGAAUACUGUGCCUUUGUUACACUAUCCUGAGUCCCAUGAUGUGUGUAUGCCAGGUAGCCUAACAGUCAGUCUGGGCUUUAUGUGCUGCCGGUCCCGUCUUCAAUAAAUGCAGUUAAAAACAUAA